UUCAAAUGAAUAGGUCCAUCUAUUGCCCAAUGAGGCCAUGAAUUGGGCCAUUUUCUGCCCUUCUAUUAGUUCAGAGCUUGUAAGAAAUACUCAUAUUUCCUCUUGAGGUAUAGGAAAAUUGUUAAGGCAUGUUUGGUUUGCUAUUGCGAACCUUUGACAAUGUAAAAAUCCAAACAUGCCUAACAGCACAUAACAAUUGAUUUGCAGCAUAUAGAUAUCCUUCUAUUCCAAAAUUUGAUAGCUCUAGAAACCUCCACUGAACAAUGCAUAACGUUCAGCAGAGCAAAGCCGCCAAAGCAGCAUACAUGAGAACCUCCACUUGACUGUAUCUGAUCUCAGGCCUCUCUUCUUGACAAGCUGUGCUAGUGGUCUUAGGAGGCCUAAUGAUUUCAUAUGAUAUCUUGAAGGUUUCGAUACUUGACUGACCAUCGAACUGCCUGGCGCGCUUCUAAUAACAUCCAGCAUCUCUUUCUCCAUCCUAUAACUUCUCCAUCAGCUCUGUUGUCAACAAGUUUCAGAUUCUGGAGAUGUGUGAGAUUCUCCAAGCCUUUUUUUGACGGAAGAAGGUAGAGCGUGCUCCACCUUAUAAUCAUUUCAUUAAUAGAAAUGAGGUUUCCAAGUUACAAGUUACUAGAGGUUAUAGUUAACCUAGAACAGAAGGAAAAAAGAAGAAAAGGAAGAAGAGAAGAGACAAAAAUAAAAAGAAAAGAGAAAGGGUGGUGGAUUUACAAAGAUAUAAACAAGGGUUCUUGUGGUGAUAGUUAACUGAUUCUCCAAGCCUUGUGGUGAAUCAGUUAGCUGGGUGCACCGGCCAGGCACCAGUUCAUGUAGCCCUACAAGGCAUCCUAUCUAAAACUCCAUCUGACUAAGCCUAUCUACUAGUAUCGCCGGGGAUUCCAACGAGAUAGUGGUAGGAUGUAUGGAAGCUUGGCUCCGGUGGAUCUCAAUGGAUUGAAGGCUAGAUCUUGGCUAGGCUUCAUGGGUGUCAUGGCUUGAAUCGAUUGUUGUUCUGUUGGGUUCUUUCUCCAGCCCUCUUUUGGGGCUAGGCCUUUAUACCCUUAGGCCCUCUCGUAUCAUAGGACUCAGUGAUAUACUAGGUAGUCUUCGACUCAAUUUUGAUCGAGUCUGAGUAGAUCUCCCGUAGUUUUCCUUAAAUAGGUCUUGCGUAGUUUUCUAUAAAAAUAUUUGUGUUAAGUCUUACAGGUAUGUCAUAUUUUCAACACCGACAAUAGUCACUUUAAGAAAAAGAAUAACGGUUAAUUUACGGAAUGGGUAUGAAGGGGCUCAAAAUGGAACAUGGCAAUAUAGAAGAUUAGAUAAAACUUAGGACUAUGAAAGAAGGUGACAUCAUGUGAAUGUUUGUGACAGCAUUGGGCGCGACCUGUGAGGUUGGGAAGAGAGGAGAGAAGAGGGGAAGAGGAGGAUGAAGGAAGGAGGGAAAUUUGGUCCAAAUCUUUUUGCAAAUUUAUCCAAGGGGUAAGUAGUGUCAUAUUCCAACACCGACCAAAUUGUAACAAUGGUUUACAAAUACAUGAAUUAUAAUCGCAUAUUUUGAAAUAGGCAAAUUUGUAAUGGCAUACAUCCAAAUAUCCAAGUAACCCUCUGAAACAAACACCUAGCGCCAACAAGCAGGCACACUAAUGUGUGGGGACGUUGGGGGAAUCAACGACAUCAAGCUGCUCAGGCCUGACUCGGUCCUCCAGUUGGCAAGCAGAGGGGGCAAGGAGAGCACCGGCGCUAUGGUGGAGACAAAGAGAGGUGGCUAGUGGCAGCGAAGUAGAUGGCAGUGGCGGGGCGGGCGUAUGGUGCAAUGGCGACUUGAUGGAAUCUAGCGAGGGCAUGAUGUCCUAGAAGUAGAUCGAGGCCGUGCAAUCCAAUGAUGAAGGUGCUCGGUUUGGCUCAGAACAUGAUGGUGACAGGCAAACAACAGUACACAAGAACAAAACCGCGUUCCCGGUGAACCGCUGCAUGAAUCAUCAACAUUGUGGAGGGUAAAGAGCAUGAACCAACGGAGCACGUUGUGACAUGGUAGGUUUUGCGAGAAACUCACCGUAGAGAGGGAUCGACGAGGAUGGAACUCGGGAUGGCAUGAAUGGUGGCCGCAAUAGAUUUUAGCGUUCCCGAACGUGGGAGGAUGAGAAAUAUGGCGAGAGGAGGUACCGACGGUGUCCUCGAGGAUGAGGUCCUCUUAGUCCACCCACUCCCUCUCCGGCCCCUUCCGCCGGCACCUCAUCCAAAAGCACAGUCAAACG
This 2252-nucleotide long non-coding RNA is filed under the name Oryza sativa (Asian cultivated rice). Its description in RNAcentral is "long non-coding RNA (OSAT_LNC001467)". Lineage: Eukaryota; Viridiplantae; Streptophyta; Magnoliopsida; Poales; Poaceae. The record is from RNAcentral.